CCUACGGGGGGCAGCAGUGAGGAAUAUUGGUCAAUGGCCGGAAGGCUGAACCAGCCAUGCCGCGUGAAGGUCAGUGCCCUAUGGGCGUUAAACUUCUUUUGUGCGGGAGCAAUAAUGGUCACGUGUGGCCAGACGAGAGUACCGUACGAAUAAGCAUCGGCUAACUCCGUGCCAGCAGCCGCGGUAAUACGGGGGAUGCAAGCGUUAUCCGGAUUUAUUGGGUUUAAAGGGUGCGUAGGCUGUGAGGUAAGUCAGCGGUGAAAUGCCCCCGCUCAACGGGGUGAAGUGCCAUUGAUACUGCCUGGCUGGAAUGCGGAUGCCGUGGGAGGAAUGUGUGGGGUAGCGGUGAAAUGCAUAGAUAUCACACAGAACACCGAUUGCGAAGGCAUCUCACGAAGCCGCGAUUGACGCUGAUGCACGAAAGCGUGGGUAUCAAACAGGAUUAGAUACCCGAGUAGUC
Molecule: ribosomal RNA, 460 nt
Filed under: uncultured bacterium
Lineage: Bacteria
Description: partial 16S ribosomal RNA
Rfam family: Bacterial small subunit ribosomal RNA
Source: RNAcentral